Molecule: transfer RNA, 64 nt
Organism: Cavia porcellus (domestic guinea pig)
Lineage: Eukaryota; Metazoa; Chordata; Mammalia; Rodentia; Caviidae
Rfam family: tRNA
About the family: Transfer RNA (tRNA) molecules are approximately 80 nucleotides in length.
Source: Rfam
GGGGAUUUAGCUCAGUGGCAUAAGCACCUGCCUUGCAAGCAUGCAGUCGUGAAUUCAAUCCCUG